This 67-nucleotide transfer RNA is filed under the name Marmota monax (woodchuck). RNAcentral's name for it is "tRNA.Ala". Lineage: Eukaryota; Metazoa; Chordata; Mammalia; Rodentia; Sciuridae. The record is from RNAcentral.
GGAUUGUGGCUUAGCGGUAGAGUACUCUCCUAGCAUGGGCGGGGCCCGGGUUCUAUCCUCAGCACCA